GAUGAAGAACGCAGCGAAAUGCGAUAAGUAAUGUGAAUUGCAGAAUUCAGUGAAUCAUCGAAUCUUUGAACGCACAUUGCGCCCGCCAGCAUUCUGGCGGGCAUGCCUGUUCGAGCGUCAUUUCAACCCUCGAGCCCCCCCGGGGGCCUCGGUGUUGGGGGACGGCACACCAGCCGCCCCCGAAAUGCAGUGGCGACCCCGCCGCAGCCUCCCCUGCGUAGUAGCACACACCUCGCACCGGAGCGCUGAGGCGGUCACGCCGUAAAACGCCCAACUUUCUUAGAGUUGACCUCGGAUCAGGUAGGAAUACCCGCUGAACUUAAGCAUAUCAAUAAGCGGAGGA
RNAcentral lists this unclassified non-coding RNA (343 nucleotides) under soil metagenome. RNAcentral describes it as "partial contains 5.8S ribosomal RNA, internal transcribed spacer 2, and large subunit ribosomal RNA". The stretch from base 1 to 120 matches the Rfam family "5.8S ribosomal RNA", at positions 35 to 154 of the family's 154-position model. The record is from RNAcentral.